RNAcentral lists this ribosomal RNA (917 nucleotides) under Melampsora euphorbiae-gerardianae. RNAcentral describes it as "eukaryotic LSU rRNA". It matches the Rfam family "Eukaryotic large subunit ribosomal RNA", at positions 78 to 980 of the family's 3401-position model. The record is from RNAcentral. Lineage: Eukaryota; Fungi; Basidiomycota; Pucciniomycetes; Pucciniales; Melampsoraceae.
CCUUAGUAACGGCGAGUGAACAGGGAGAAGCCAAAUUUGUAAUCUGGCACUUUUUACAAGUGUCCGAGUUGUAAUUUGUAGAACUGUUAUCCGUGCUGGACCAUGUACAAGUCUGUUGAAAAGCAGCAUCAUUGAAGGUGAAAAUCCUGUAGAUGAUAUGGACUACCAGGACAUUUGUGAUACGGUUUCUAAGAGUCGAGUUGUUUGGGAAUGCAGCUCAAAGUGGGUGGUAAAUUCCAUCUAAGGCUAAAUAUUAGUGAGAGACCGAUAGCAAACAAGUACCGUGAGGGAAAGAUGAAAAGAACUUUGAAAAUAGAGUUAACAGUACGUGAAAUUGCUGAAAGGGAAACGUUUGAAGUUAGUUUUGUAUUCGUUGGAUCAGCUUCGCAAGGAGUGUAUUCUGAUGAUAAGCAAGUCAACAUCAGUCUAUGAGUGUCGGAGAAGGGUUUUGAGAACGUAGCAAUUUAGUUGUGUUAUAGCUUGAGACUUGGAUACGAUGCUUUGGAUUGAGGAACGCGUAGUAAGCUUUGAGCGGAUUCGAAAGGAUCUCCUUACUAUGGAUGUUGGUGAAAUAACUUUAAGCGACCCGUCUUGAAACACGGACCAAGGAGUCUAACAUGCUUGCGAGUAUUAGGGUGUUGAAACCCGAAUGCGUAAUGAAAGUGAAUCUAAGAUGUGAUCCGCAAGGUGCAACAUCGGCCGGUCUGGAUCAUUUAUGUGAAGGUACUGAGCAAGAGCAAGUAUGUUAGGACCCGAAAGAUGGUGAACUAUGCCUGGAUAGGGUGAAGUCAGAGGAAACUCUGAUGGAAGCUCGUAGCGGUUCUGACGUGCAAAUCGAUCGUAGAAUCUGGGUAUAGGGGCGAAAGACUAAUCGAACCAUCUAGUAGCUGGUUCCUGCCGAAGUUUCCCUCAGGAUA